CGUGAUACAGUUCGUGUCCAGGAGCUAACAUUUCUGUGGCUAUCUCCCCUCCCUCAUUUCUUCCUAGCUGAAAAGGACAAUCACUGGCCCAGCCUCCUGCAGGGGUAGCUCAAUCCUGACCAGGGUGUGAACAUCCUGCCUGGUGCUCCUGGAGCCAUAAGAGGCCAUGAAGAUAUUAAUUUAUACACCCAGGAUGGCAGGAAACAUGGGGGAAGCCAGGACUCUUACAGGUAUCUUCAAGUGCUAAGCCAGUCUCAGCAACUCCCUGUCAGCAAUCUUCUUGUUUUGAAAUCCACCCCAAACCAAGACAAAACAAACAAAACCCAAACUGCAAAACCAUCUAAUAGUAAGUCCUAUACCAAGGUAGCCCGUGGCUCCACCUUGGCUGCGAUUCAGAUCACCUGCCAAGCUUCCGAAAAUCCCAAAGCCCAGGCUGCACCUCCGACCAAUUAAGUCAGAAGCCCUGGCAUGGAAACCUCAAGUGACUGGAACGUGCGCACAAGGUAGAGAACUGCCGCUACAGCUCACUCUGCCUUGGAAACGCGCGGACCGCGAUCCUCAUUCCUCCAGGAGACCCGCCACCAACCUCGUCCUACGCGCAGACCACCGGCAGUUUUCCCGGAGGCGGUUUUGUGUUUCACAAGAUCAAAUGAAGCAUAAAGAUAGGGUCAAGAUGGAGACAUACAAGCAUUGACCGCUCCAGCGGGAGAGACUGAGGGCCACUGAAGCAAGAUACUGACACAGGAUGAUAUGACACCUGGCUGCAGAAGAACCAGACCUAUCCGGAUCCAACCACCUCAAACCAGAAGAGACCUCUCCCGCUUACUCUGACUUUACAUUGACUUUUCCCUCAUUAUAAUUUCAUUUUAAUGCUAAAAAUCACACCCAGGGGUGGAGAUUUAACAUACUAAUGAGACAGGUGAUGCAUGAAGAAGCAUAUACCAGAACUACCAGGGCAAAAGAAAAUCUCCACCUCUAUAUGCAUACAUGUCACCCUUUUCCCACCUAACGCCUAUUUAUUUAUUUAGAGACAGAGUCUCACUCUGUUCCCUGGGCUAGAGUGCCAUGUCGUCAGCCUAGCUCAC
Molecule: long non-coding RNA, 1085 nt
Organism: Microcebus murinus (gray mouse lemur)
Lineage: Eukaryota; Metazoa; Chordata; Mammalia; Primates; Cheirogaleidae
Source: RefSeq, a predicted model, not a curated record